GGCGAACGGGUGAGGAACACGUGAGAAACCUGCCUUUCAUUCUGGGAUAACACCGGGAAACCGGUGCUAAUACCGGAUACUCCGUCUUGGCGGCAUCGCCGAGCCGGGAAAAAAUUUUGAUGAAAGAUGGUCUCGCGGCCUAUCAGCUAGUUGGUGAGGUAAUGGCUCACCAAGGCGACGACGGGUAGCCGGCCUGAGAGGGCGACCGGCCACACUGGGACUGAGACACGGCCCAGACUCCUACGGGAGGCAGCAGUAGGGAAUAUUGGGCAAUGGGCGAAAGCCUGACCCAGCGACGCCGCGUGAGGGAUGAAGGUCUUCGGAUUGUAAACCUCUUUCAGUAGGGAAGAAGCGAAAGAGACGGUACCUAAAGAAGAAGCACCGGCUAACUAUGUGCCAGCAGCCGCGGUAAUACAUAGGGUGCAAGCGUUGUCCGGAAUUAUUGGGCGUAAAGAGCUCGUAGGUCGUUUGUCGCGUCGAUUGUGAAAAUCUGAGGCUCAACCUCAGACCUGCAGUCGAUACGGGCAAACUAGAGUGUGGUAGGGGAGACUGGAAUUCCUGGUGUAGCGGUGGAAUGCGCAGAUAUCAGGAGGAACACCAAUGGCGAAGGCAGGUCUCUGGGCCAUAACUGACACUGAGGAGCGAAAGUGCGGGGAGCGAACAGGAUU
This 668-nucleotide ribosomal RNA is filed under the name uncultured Micrococcineae bacterium. RNAcentral's name for it is "bacterial SSU rRNA". It matches the Rfam family "Bacterial small subunit ribosomal RNA", at positions 97 to 779 of the family's 1533-position model. Lineage: Bacteria; Bacillati; Actinomycetota; Actinomycetes; Micrococcales. The record is from RNAcentral.